CCUACGGGCGGCAGCAGUGGGGAAUAUUGCACAAUGGGGGAAACCCUGAUGCAGCGACGCCGCGUGAGUGAAGAAGUAUUUCGGUAUUUAAAACUCUAUCAGCAGGGAAGAAAAUGACGGUACCUGAUUAAGAAGCCCCGGCGAACUACGUGCCAGCAGCCGCGGUACUACGUAGGGGGCAAGCGUUAUCCGGAUUUACUGGGUGUAAAGGGAGCGUAGUCGGCAGCACAAGUCUGGAGUGAAAUGCCGGGGCUUAACCCCGGAACUGCUGUUGAAACUGGGCAGCUAGAGUGCAGGAGAGGUGAGUGGAAUUCCUAGUGUAGCGGUGAAAUGCGUAGAUAUUAGGAGGAACACCAGUGGCGAAGGCGGCUUACUGGACUGUAACUGACGUUGAGGCUCGAAAGCGUGGGGAGCAAACAGGAUUAGAUACCCCGGUAGUC
Molecule: ribosomal RNA, 440 nt
Filed under: uncultured bacterium
Lineage: Bacteria
Description: partial 16S ribosomal RNA
Rfam family: Bacterial small subunit ribosomal RNA
Source: RNAcentral